UACAGAGGGGGCAAGCGUUGUUCGGAAUUACUGGGCGUAAAGGGCGCGUAGGCGGCCUUCUAAGUCGAACGUGAAAUCCCCGGGCUUAACCUGGGAACUGCAUUUGUGACUGCAUAGCUGGAGUACGGUAGAGGGGGAUGGAAUUCCGCGUGUAGCAGUGAAAUGCGUAGAUAUGCGGAGGAACACCGAUGGCGAAGGCAGUCCCCUGGACCUGUACUGACGCUCAUGCACGAAAGCGUGGGGAGCAAACAGG
This 253-nucleotide ribosomal RNA is filed under the name uncultured bacterium. RNAcentral's name for it is "partial 16S ribosomal RNA". It matches the Rfam family "Bacterial small subunit ribosomal RNA", at positions 524 to 776 of the family's 1533-position model. The record is from RNAcentral.